Molecule: ribosomal RNA, 119 nt
Filed under: Lepisosteus oculatus (spotted gar)
Lineage: Eukaryota; Metazoa; Chordata; Actinopteri; Semionotiformes; Lepisosteidae
Source: RNAcentral
UCUAGCCGCUAUAUCACCCUGCAACUCACAGCUGGCAGCCCACUGAAGCUCAGCAGGUGUGAGCCUGGUCAGUACCUGGAUGGGAGACCUCCUGGGAAAAACUAAGGUUACUGCUAGAC